GAUGAACGCUAGCUACAGGCUUAACACAUGCAAGUCGAGGGGCAUCAGGAAGAAAGCUUGCUUUCUUUGCUGGCGACCGGCGCACGGGUGAGUAACACGUAUCCAACCUGCCCUUUACUCGGGGAUAGCCUUUCGAAAGAAAGAUUAAUACCCGAUAGCAUAAUGAUUCCGCAUGGUUUCAUUAUUAAAGGAUUCCGGUAAAGGAUGGGGAUGCGUUCCAUUAGGUUGUUGGUGAGGUAACGGCUCACCAAGCCUUCGAUGGAUAGGGGUUCUGAGAGGAAGGUCCCCCACAUUGGAACUGAGACACGGUCCAAACUCCUACGGGAGGCAGCAGUGAGGAAUAUUGGUCAAUGGGCGCUAGCCUGAACCAGCCAAGUAGCGUGAAGGAUGAAGGCUCUAUGGGUCGUAAACUUCUUUUAUAUAAGAAUAAAGUGCAGUAUGUAUACUGUUUUGUAUGUAUUAUAUGAAUAAGGAUCGGCUAACUCCGUGCCAGCAGCCGCGGUAAUACGGAGGAUCCGAGCGUUAUCCGGAUUUAUUGGGUUUAAAGGGAGCGUAGGUGGACUGGUAAGUCAGUUGUGAAAGUUUGCGGCUCAACCGUAAAAUUGCAGUUGAUACUGUCAGUCUUGAGUACAGUAGAGGUGGGCGGAAUUCGUGGUGUAGCGGUGAAAUGCUUAGAUAUCACGAAGAACUCCGAUUGCGAAGGCAGCUCACUGGACUGCAACUGACACUGAUGCUCGAAAGUGUGGGUAUCAAACAGGAUUAGAUACCCUGGUAGUCCACACAGUAAACGAUGAAUACUCGCUGUUUGCGAUAUACAGUAAGCGGCCAAGCGAAAGCAUUAAGUAUUCCACCUGGGGAGUACGCCGGCAACGGUGAAACUCAAAGGAAUUGACGGGGGCCCGCACAAGCGGAGGAACAUGUGGUUUAAUUCGAUGAUACGCGAGGAACCUUACCCGGGCUUAAAUUGCAGUGGAAUGAUGUGGAAACAUGUCAGUGAGCAAUCACCGCUGUGAAGGUGCUGCAUGGUUGUCGUCAGCUCGUGCCGUGAGGUGUCGGCUUAAGUGCCAUAACGAGCGCAACCCUUAUCUUCAGUUACUAACAGGUCAUGCUGAGGACUCUGGAGAGACUGCCGUCGUAAGAUGUGAGGAAGGUGGGGAUGACGUCAAAUCAGCACGGCCCUUACGUCCGGGGCUACACAUGUGUUCCAUGGGGGGGUACAGAAGGGAGCUAGCGGGCGACCGUAUGCUAAUCCCAAAAUCCUCUCUCAGUUCGGAUCGAAGUCUGCAACCCGACUUCGUGAAGCUGGAUUCGCUAGUAAUCGCGCAUCAGCCACGGCGCGGUGAAUACGUUCCCGGGCCU
Molecule: ribosomal RNA, 1359 nt
Filed under: uncultured bacterium
Lineage: Bacteria
Description: bacterial SSU rRNA
Rfam family: Bacterial small subunit ribosomal RNA
Source: RNAcentral